UCCUGGAUUUUAUGCCACGUCCCUCAAUGUGUAUGUGCUUCAAGCCAUGUACAACAUCUACAGAGCAGAUCAUGGACCAGUACGGCUACGGGGCAUAGAGCACCGUUACAGAUAUCUGGCGUACAGGAUGUUUGUCAGUUGGUGUUGGGGAUUCCUUGGGCGCCACAUAAGAGUUGUGGUUCCAUCAUGUGUCGUCCUGCGUGUUCGUCGGGAGUUUCCAGAUAGUCAACAGCAAUACAUGGGCUUCAGACUGCCUCCCCUGCGUUGAAGCGGAAGAUGCAGCUGGUGAUCACCCCCUCCUUCUCAGGCCCACGUCUUCAACGCAUCCUAUGCAAUGAAAGACAUGUUGUAUUUCUACUGUAUUUUCACAUUAAUUUUACUAAACUAUUCAAAGUGUACAUUUCUUAUGUAAAUAUACUGUUUUAACUGUUUUAAUUCAGAUUACAAGGCUUAUUUUUAUUACUUUUUCUAUAUAAUUAAAAUAAGAAAUACUUA
Engraulis encrasicolus (European anchovy) is the source of this 495-nucleotide long non-coding RNA. RefSeq lists it as uncharacterized. Lineage: Eukaryota; Metazoa; Chordata; Actinopteri; Clupeiformes; Engraulidae. The record is from RefSeq and is a predicted model, not a curated record. The transcript is spliced from 2 exons.